GACGAACGCUGGCGGCGUGCUUAACACAUGCAAGUCGAACGGAAAGGCUCCAGCUUGCUGGCGUACUCGAGUGGCGAACGGGUGAGUAACACGUGGGUAAUCUGCCCUGCACUCUGGGAUAAGCCUGGGAAACUGGGGCUAAUACUGGAUAUGACCUUUCUCCUUAUGUGGUUUGGUGGAAAGUUUUUCGGUGUAGGAUGAGUCCGCGGCCUAUCAGCUUGUUGGUGGGGUGAUGGCCUACCAAGGCGACGACGGGUAGCCGGCCUGAGAAGGUGAUCGGCCACAUUGGGACUGGGAUAGGGCCCAGACUGCUACGGGGGGCAGCAGUGGGGAAUAUUGCGCAAUGGGCGGAAGCCUGAUGCGGCGACGCCGCGUGAGGGAUGACGGCCUUCGGGUUUUAAACCUCUUUCAGCAGGGACGAGGCGUAAGUGACGGUACCUGCAGAAGAAGCACCGGCUAACUACGUG
RNAcentral lists this ribosomal RNA (467 nucleotides) under uncultured bacterium. RNAcentral describes it as "partial 16S ribosomal RNA". It matches the Rfam family "Bacterial small subunit ribosomal RNA", at positions 28 to 507 of the family's 1533-position model. The record is from RNAcentral.